GGAAGUAAAAGACGUAACAAGGUUUCCGUAGGUGAACCUGCGGAAGGAUCAUUAUUGUAUAACCGAGGUGCGAGGGCUGUCGCUGACCCGAAAGGUCGUGCACGCCCGAGUGCCCUCACACACAUCCAUCUCACCCCUAUGUGCACCACCGCGUGGGUCCCCCUUUGGCUUGUUCGGAGGGGGGCUUACGUUUUCACACAAACUUUGUAUGCAGUGUAGAAUGUAUUUUUUGUUUUUGCGAUCACGCAAUCAAUACAACUUUCAACAACGGUUCUCUUGGCUCUC
RNAcentral lists this unclassified non-coding RNA (285 nucleotides) under plant metagenome. RNAcentral's name for it is "partial contains small subunit ribosomal RNA and internal transcribed spacer 1". The stretch from base 1 to 54 matches the Rfam family "Eukaryotic small subunit ribosomal RNA", at positions 1778 to 1831 of the family's 1831-position model. The record is from RNAcentral.